UAGUAAUCAUGACUGUUUUCUGUGGUGU
Molecule: non-coding RNA, 28 nt
Filed under: Mus musculus (house mouse)
Lineage: Eukaryota; Metazoa; Chordata; Mammalia; Rodentia; Muridae
Source: RNAcentral